CUCUCUCUCAACUCCAGAAUUGAUCAAAUCAAAUAAUCUAGAAGCAAAAAAUAAUCAAAUAAUAAAAAUUAAAGGAUGAAAUUAAGGAGGAGAGUUUUAGAGACGGAAAAAAGGUGCAUACAUACAUACAUGUGGUGUGAAGGGAGAAAAGGUUAAUAAUGGGAAAUUGAAAUUAACGAAGAAGACAAAGUUGAAAUGGAGACGCAAUUAAUGUCGACGAUGUAAACUAAAGAAGGAGAUUCUUCGAUGAGAUGCGUAGAUGCCACCUAGUACGGUUACUUCUUGAUAUUAUCAUUCCAUUUUUUUUUCUUUCUUGUUCUAUGUUGUCUCAAAUGUGAUUAGUUCUUGUAAAAAAAAAAGUGAAUUGUUA
Molecule: long non-coding RNA, 370 nt
Filed under: Trifolium pratense (red clover)
Lineage: Eukaryota; Viridiplantae; Streptophyta; Magnoliopsida; Fabales; Fabaceae
Description: long non-coding RNA (TPRA_LNC010508)
Source: RNAcentral